UGGCUCAGUUGGUAGAGUGCUUGCCUCUCAUGCACAAGGGCCUGGGUUCAAUCCCCAG
Molecule: transfer RNA, 58 nt
Filed under: Ictidomys tridecemlineatus (thirteen-lined ground squirrel)
Lineage: Eukaryota; Metazoa; Chordata; Mammalia; Rodentia; Sciuridae
Also listed under: 1 other name
Description: Spermophilus tridecemlineatus (thirteen-lined ground squirrel) tRNA
Rfam family: tRNA
About the family: Transfer RNA (tRNA) molecules are approximately 80 nucleotides in length. Their secondary structure includes four short double-helical elements and three loops (D, anti-codon, and T loops).
Source: Rfam by way of RNAcentral